GUAGCAAUACAGGAGUGGCGCACGGGUGAGUAACGCGUGGGAACCUGCCCUGGAGUGGGGGAUAACCGAGGGAAACUUCGGCUAAUACCGCAUACGUCCUGAGGGAGAAAGAUUUAUCGCUCUAGGAGGGGCCCGCGUCGGAUUAGCUAGUUGGUGGGGUAACGGCCUACCAAGGCAACGAUCCGUAGCUGGUCUGAGAGGAUGAUCAGCCACACUGGGACUGAGACACGGUCCAGACUCCUACGGGAGGCAGCAGUGGGGAAUUUUGCGCAAUGGGGGAAACCCUGACGCAGCAACGCCGCGUGGAGGAUGAAGCCCCUUGGG
Molecule: ribosomal RNA, 324 nt
Filed under: uncultured bacterium
Lineage: Bacteria
Description: bacterial SSU rRNA
Rfam family: Bacterial small subunit ribosomal RNA
Source: RNAcentral